AAGGGGCGCCGUUCGAAGAGGGCGGCGCGGUGACGGUACCUCACGAGAAAGCCCCGGCUAAUUACGUGCCAGCAGCCGCGGUAAUACGUAGGGGGCGAGCGUUGUCCGGAAUUAUUGGGCGUAAAGCGCGCGCAGGCGGUCCCUUAAGUUUGAUGUGAAAGCCCACGGUUCAACCGUGGAGGGUCAUUGGAAACUGGGGGACUUGAGGGCAGGAGAGGAGAGCGGAAUUCCACGUGUAGCGGUGAAAUGCGUAGAGAUGUGGAGGAACACCAGUGGCGAAGGCGGCUUUCUGGCCUGCACCUGACGCUGAGGCGCGAAAGCGUGGGGAGCAAACAGGAUUAGAUACCCUGGUAGUCCACGCCGUAAACGAUGAGUGUUAAGUGUUAGAGGGGUCACACCCUUUAGUGCUGCAGCUAACGCGAUAAGCACUCCGCCUGGGGAGUACGGCCGCAAGGCUGAAACUCAAAGGAAUUGACGGGGGCCCGCACAAGCGGUGGAGCAUGUGGUUUAAUUGGAAGCAACGCGAAGAACCUUACCAGGUCUUGACAUCCCCUGACAACCCAAGAGAUUGGGCGUUCCCCCUUCGGGGGGACAGGGUGACAGGUGGUGCA
This 611-nucleotide ribosomal RNA is filed under the name Geobacillus stearothermophilus. RNAcentral describes it as "bacterial SSU rRNA". It matches the Rfam family "Bacterial small subunit ribosomal RNA", at positions 448 to 1045 of the family's 1533-position model. Lineage: Bacteria; Bacillati; Bacillota; Bacilli; Caryophanales; Anoxybacillaceae. The record is from RNAcentral.